AAAAACAAGACCAGGAGCUGACUGUGGCUCAGAUCAUGAACUCCUUAUUGCCAAAUUCAGACUUAAAUUGAAGAAAGUGGGAAAAACCAUUAAGCCAUCCAGGCAUGGCCUAAAUCAAAUCCCUUAUGAUUAUACAGUGGACGUGACAAAUAAGUUCAAGGU
Long non-coding RNA from Cervus elaphus (red deer), 162 nucleotides. RefSeq lists it as uncharacterized. The record is from RefSeq and is a predicted model, not a curated record. The transcript has 3 exons. NCBI's taxonomy places the organism in Eukaryota, Metazoa, Chordata, Mammalia, Artiodactyla, Cervidae.